AUGGCACGGUACUGGUGGAGUAGCUCAAUCGAUAAGAGGUCACUCCAUUGGGUCUCCUGGAAAGAGCUACCUAAACCAAAAUGUCAGGGAGGAAUGGGCUUCCGGGACCUUCAUCUGUUCAAUCUUGCUCUCCUAGGCAAACAUGGGUGGCGAUUCCUGACAAACCCCACGUCACUCUGCGCAAGAGUUAUGAAAGGAAGGUACUUCCCGGACUCAAAUUUCUUGCAGGCCACGGCACCCAAGGCGUCCUCCGCUACUUGGCGUGCUAUCAUCGCGGGGCGAGAG
Molecule: ribosomal RNA, 285 nt
Filed under: Triticum aestivum (bread wheat)
Lineage: Eukaryota; Viridiplantae; Streptophyta; Magnoliopsida; Poales; Poaceae
Description: partial small subunit ribosomal RNA
Source: RNAcentral